UACGUAGGUGACAAGCGUUGUCCGGAUUUACUGGGCGUAAAGAGCGCGCAGGCGGUCGAUCAAGUCGAGUGUGAAAGCCCCCGGCUCAACUGGGGAGGGUCAUUCGAUACUGAUCGACUCGAAGGCAGGAGAGGAGAGUGGAAUUCCUGGUGUAGCGGUGAAAUGCGCAGAUAUCAGGAAGAACACCCGUGGCGAAGGCGGCUCUCUGGGACGGUACUGACGCUGAGACGCGAAAGCGUGGGGAGCGAACAGG
Molecule: ribosomal RNA, 253 nt
Filed under: uncultured bacterium
Lineage: Bacteria
Description: partial 16S ribosomal RNA
Rfam family: Bacterial small subunit ribosomal RNA
Source: RNAcentral